This 253-nucleotide ribosomal RNA is filed under the name uncultured microorganism. Its description in RNAcentral is "partial small subunit ribosomal RNA". It matches the Rfam family "Bacterial small subunit ribosomal RNA", at positions 524 to 776 of the family's 1533-position model. The record is from RNAcentral.
AACGUAGGAGGCGAGCGUUAUCCGGAUUUACUGGGCGUAAAGCGCGUGCAGGCGGUUGUGCAAGUUGGGCGUGAAAUCUCCCGGCUCAACUGGGAGGCGCCGUCCAAUACUGCAUGACUUGAGGGCAGGAGAGGGAAGCGGAAUUCCCGGUGUAGCGGUAAUAUGCGCAGAUAUCGGGAGGAACACCAGUGGCGAAGGCGGCUUCCUGGCCUGUUCCUGACGCUGAUACGCGAAAGCUAGGGGAGCGAACGGG